This 458-nucleotide ribosomal RNA is filed under the name uncultured bacterium. RNAcentral's name for it is "partial 16S ribosomal RNA". It matches the Rfam family "Bacterial small subunit ribosomal RNA", at positions 338 to 795 of the family's 1533-position model. The record is from RNAcentral.
CCUACGGGAGGCAGCAGUGAGGAAUAUUGGUCAAUGGGCGAGAGCCUGAACCAGCCAAGUCGCGUGAGGGAGUACUGCCCUAUGGGUUGUAAACCUCUUUUGUCGGGGAGCAAAAGCCGGACGUGUCCGGCUGUGAGCGUACCCGAAGAAAAAGCAUCGGCUAACUCCGUGCCAGCAGCCGCGGUAAUACGGAGGAUGCGAGCGUUAUCCGGAUUUAUUGGGUUAAACGGGUGCGCAGGCGGAUUGUUAAGUCAGCGGUAAAAUCGUGGGGCUCAACCCCAUCCAGCCGUUGAAACUGGGGAUCUAGAGUGUGCGAGAGGUAUGCGGAAUGCGUGGUGUAGCGGUGAAAUGCAUAGAUAUCACGCAGAACCCCGAUUGCGAAGGCAGCAUACCGGUGCACAACUGACGCUCAGGCACGAAAGCGUGGGUAUCGAACAGGAUUAGAUACCCUUGUAGUC